GAGGAUCCGAGCGUUAUCCGGAUUUAUUGGGUUUAAAGGGCGCGUAGGCGGGAUGUUAAGUCAGUUGUGAAUGUUUGCGGCUCAACCGUAAAAUCGCAGUUGAUACUGGCUUCCUUGAGUGCGGCAGAGGCAGGCGGAAUUCGUGGUGUAGCGGUGAAAUGCUUAGAUAUCACGAAGAACCCCGAUGGCGAAGGCAGCCUGCUGGACCGUAACUGACGCUGAGGCGCGAAAGUGCGGGUAGCA
RNAcentral lists this ribosomal RNA (243 nucleotides) under uncultured bacterium. RNAcentral's name for it is "partial 16S ribosomal RNA". It matches the Rfam family "Bacterial small subunit ribosomal RNA", at positions 528 to 770 of the family's 1533-position model. The record is from RNAcentral.